AGCUACAUAGAGAAACCUUGUCUCAGAAAGCCAAAAAGUAGAAAGAAAGAAAGAAAGAAAGAAAGAAAGAAAGAAAGAAAGAAAGAACCAGAUUUUUAGGAAACCUUGGCAAUAGAGGGAAAAAGUACAAAAUGAGCAUGCCCUGGAAUGGUCCUUGCAUAGACACACACACACAGAGACACACGCACCAAAGAAGUACUGAGUCUAGACUUUCCGUUGUCUAGACUCUACCUGCUCCAUAAACAAGAAGGUUCAUCGUAUCUGCUGGCUAUCAGAAUCUUUCUCAUUUUCUUUUAUGUAUCUUUUUGUUGUUUUGGUUUAGGUUUUUGAGACACCGUCUUGCUAGAUAUAUAGCCCAGGCUGGCCUUGAACCUGUAAUCCUUUUGCUUUGGCCUCCAAAAUGCACCACUGCACCCAGCCUUUACCAAUAUUGUCUUAAUAAUUUGUUGUUGUUGUUUUCUUGUGACCCCAGAGCCUGUACGAAUGAGGCAAGUGCCUCACUGGCAGGCUGUAUUCUUAGCAUCUUUCAGCUUUUGCUUGGUGUUUUUAUCACAACGAUGUUUCUCAUUUUUUCACCACCAUUAAGGAUUUGUCUUCUGUAAGCAGGCACUGUUGUCAGAGCUACUUGAAGAGUCACCCACUUUUAAGAAUGUGUUCUCCAGGGGCCAGAAAGAUGGCUCAAAAGAGUGCUUGCUGCUCUUGCAGAGGACCAGAGUUCAGUUCCCAGCACCUACAUCAGGUAGCUCACAAAAACCCAUAACUCUAGCUCCAGGGAACCUGACACCAACCUCCGGUCUCCAUGGGCAUUGUCGUGCAUGGGCACACACGCAUGUGUCCUUUGUCCUCGUGUGGAUGGAGGACAGACAAGGUUCAUGUGCACAGCUCAUGCCUCUAUGGUUGUCAGGAAUGUAUUGCUUUGUCUGUAUGAGUUUCCACUGUGUUGCCCAGACUGGCCCAGCCUCCUGAGUAGCUAGGUUAAGACAUGCGCCACCAUGGCAGCUGAAGUUUUCACUCUGCAAAGGGAGCCCACCUGGCAUGGGUCGGUCUGUGGCCACUCCCACAAGCUGACUGCACUUUGUUUCUCUUACCAGGUCAUGGGAAGCUAUUGUUUAAAGAUGGAAGUUACUACGAAGGCGAAUUUGUGGAUGGAGAAAUUACUGGGGAAGGCUGCCAGCACUGGGCCUGGUCAGGUUAGCACUGGGCAGAGGUGGGCUGCUGACUCUGUUCCCGUAAACCCUCCCAGAGUUAAUGGCCACACAGAGUGCUGUGUGUAAACAGGGAGCUUCAGGCUCCAGUAACGAGAGGAGAGCAGCACGCAGGCUGGGGCAAGGGAGCGUGAGGAGGCUUAUGGUCUGGAUGGCCUUUGUGUCCAGUGAAAGGGUGCCUAGGGGUCCUAGGUGAGGGUUUGCACUCACCACGAUAGAAAGCUUGGUCUUCUCUAUAACACCUAGUUGAAAGAAAAAUUUAUCAUCCCAAAGUUAUAUUUUCUUCUACAUUAAAGAUAAUUUAGGGGCUGGAGAAAUGGCUCGGUGGUUAAGAACACUGGCUGUUCUUCCAGAGAGCCUUAGUUCAAUUCCCAGCAACUACAUGGUGGCUCACAACCAUCUCUAUAAUGUGAUCCUAUGCCUCUUCUGGCAUGAAGGUUUACAUUCAGAUAGAGCACGCGUACAUAAAAUAAAUAAUUAAAUCUUUAAAAAAGCAAAAAGGCAUUUUAGACCAGAGGUGGUCAUGCAUGCCUUUAAUGCCAGCACUUAAAAUAAACAAAGAUAUUUCAGUCAAGGUGUAUCCCUAGAUGGACAGACUGCUCUGAGGCUUCCAUGCCAGUGGUCAGGGGUACUUCCUGGAGCUUUAGGCUUCACAGUUAGUGGUUGUUAGCACUCAGGAGAGCUUUUUUCUUGGGCUUUUCUCUUGGGUUCAGUGGUUUUUAAAAAUCCAGGAGAGUCCUUCGUUGUACCCCAUCAGUGCCACAGGCAAGGGCUUCCGUGGCAGUCUGCCAUCCCAGCCAGGGUAUGGACACAGGUCCAAAGCAUAUUCUCUUCCUCGCUGUCCAUACCAAAGAGUAAGGUAAAGAGACAGACACCAGCCAGGUGUAGUAGCGCACACCUCUAAUCCCAGCACUCAGAAAACAAAGGAAGACAGAUCUUUGUGCUUCAGAGGCCAGCCUAGUCUACAUAGAGACAGAGACCUCCAUUUGAAAACACCUCAGGCCGGGAGGUGGUGGCAUAUACCUUUAUCCUAACAUUUGGAAUGCGCAGGCAGGGGGAUCUCUGAGUUUGAGGCCACCUUGGUCUACAGAUCAAGUUUCAUGACAUCCAGAACUACACAGAGAAACCCUGUCUCAUAAAAACU
RNAcentral lists this long non-coding RNA (2349 nucleotides) under Mus musculus (house mouse). RNAcentral describes it as "long non-coding RNA chr4:155088394-155090743". The record is from RNAcentral. Lineage: Eukaryota; Metazoa; Chordata; Mammalia; Rodentia; Muridae.